Molecule: ribosomal RNA, 538 nt
Filed under: Penicillium toxicarium
Lineage: Eukaryota; Fungi; Ascomycota; Eurotiomycetes; Eurotiales; Aspergillaceae
Description: eukaryotic LSU rRNA
Rfam family: 5.8S ribosomal RNA (bases 161-314)
Source: RNAcentral
UCUGGGUCCAACCUCCCACCCGUGUUUAUCGUACCUUGUUGCUUCGGCGGGCCCGCCGCAAGGCCGCCGGGGGGCAUCUGCCCUCUGGCCCGCGCCCGCCGAAGACACCAUUGAACGCUGUCUGAAGAUUGCAGUCUGAGCAAUUAGUUAAAUAACUUAAAACUUUCAACAACGGAUCUCUUGGUUCCGGCAUCGAUGAAGAACGCAGCGAAAUGCGAUACGUAAUGUGAAUUGCAGAAUUCAGUGAAUCAUCGAGUCUUUGAACGCACAUUGCGCCCCCUGGUAUUCCGGGGGGCAUGCCUGUCCGAGCGUCAUUGCUGCCCUCAAGCACGGCUUGUGUGUUGGGCUCCGUCCUCCUUCCGGGGGACGGGCCCGAAAGGCAGCGGCGGCACCGCGUCCGGUCCUCGAGCGUAUGGGGCUUCGUCACCCGCUCUGCAGGCCCGGCCGGCGCUUGCCGACACAUCAAUCUUUUUUCCAGGUUGACCUCGGAUCAGGUAGGGAUACCCGCUGAACUUAAGCAUAUCAAUAAGCGGAGGAA